AGAUAAGAAAACAAAGUGGGAAUGCUGUUUGAACAGCGCCAUGUUAGGUAAACCAAACACAGCAUAUCAGCACAAACACACACCAAGCACGGUGGUAUAACGGUAAGGAUUUGGGCUUGUUUUGCAUCCACGGGAUCUGGACACCUUGCAGUCAUGGAGAUCAUGAACUUAUCUACAUACUAAAGUAUUCUACGGGUCAAUUGUGAGGCCAAAACUGGGUCAGGUAAAGGAAACAAUUGCAAUCACAACAGCAAAAUUACAACAGACUGGCUAAAAUACCUCAAGGUAUUUAAAUGGCCCAGUGAAAGUAAAGACUUUAAUCUGACUGAAAUGCUGUGGCAGGACCGUAAGAGAACUGUGCAUGAAUGAAUGUCCGCAAACAUCAAUGAAAUAAGCCAGGUUGUAAGAAAGAUGUAUUUUUUAAAAUGUAGGUAUUUUACAAGCUGCCACUUAAAGCAGUGAUGUCCUUAACUAUUUUAUUGGCAAGCUAUAUGAUGUUUAUAUUUAUUUAUUGUUUUGGGGUUUUUUUUACAUCCUGGAAAGGUAUAUAAAAUAAAGUAAUAAUACUAUAUAUUAAAAUUCAGUAGAAAUACUAUAAAUGUUUUACAGUAACUUGAUAUAAAAUUUGUAGACGAUUUUUUACAGUGCACAGCCGCCUCCAAAGGAAACAUAAAAAACAUGUUAAACAUUUCUCUAUAGGUGUGUUCAGGACAAGUAAGUUGUGCAGGUAGUUUCUUUUUUAACUCUUAAGUUAUUCUUCAUGUGCUUGUUUAAAAACCUGCAUUACUGAAUGCCUCAGUGGUCAGUGGUUUUCUGCUGUGAUGACAGUGAUGACAGGCGCGCAUCUGUUCUAUGUUUGUGUUUUGUUCGUAAUUGUUACUCAGUUCAGUUUUAUUUGUUCAGGGACUUUUUUUUUUUUUUUUAAUUUUACACAGUUACUCCACUCUCAUAAACACUAGGGGGCAGCAUACUGCGACUUUUGCAGCCGGAGAAAACUACUGCACAGCAAAGUUCAGUGAAAACUGAAUAUGAAGCCAGCGACAGACAAAGAAAAACACCGACAAAUGUGGGGAUGAAUUAAAAAUAAAAGCUGGAUUUUGCGUAAUACAAAUCACAUACAGCGGAUGAUGAGGGUAUAUCUGUAAAUAAAUAAAUAAAUGUGCAUGUUUCACGGACCUGAAUAAAGCUAAAGGAAAACAGGUUUUGAUUUCACCAGGACUGUAAAUGCCAUUAUCUAUGAAAUCGCAUAAAUAAAAACUCGGUAAACACAAAACAAAAAAUAUAAGGUUUUUGAUUUAAGUCGAUUAAGCAAUGUUAAGUUGACUGAUUCUCCUAUAGCAGAAACUUGUUUUUAGCUGGCAAUAAAGGAAAAAGAAAUAACAUUUUAUUGGAAUAUCUUACUUUUUAGAGAUAUUUAAUUGUUUU
Long non-coding RNA from Astatotilapia calliptera (eastern happy), 1425 nucleotides. The record is from Ensembl. Lineage: Eukaryota; Metazoa; Chordata; Actinopteri; Cichliformes; Cichlidae.